RNAcentral lists this ribosomal RNA (254 nucleotides) under uncultured bacterium. RNAcentral's name for it is "partial 16S ribosomal RNA". It matches the Rfam family "Bacterial small subunit ribosomal RNA", at positions 524 to 776 of the family's 1533-position model. The record is from RNAcentral.
UACGUAGGGGGCAAGCGUUGUCCGGAUUUAUUGGGCGUAAAGGGCGCGUAGGCGGUUUCUUAAGUUUGGAGUGACAGUGGGUGGCUUAACUACCCAAGGCCCUCUGAAAACUGGGGAACUUGAGGACCAGAGAGGGACAUAGAAUUCCGGGUGGAGUGGUGAAAUGCGUAGAUAUCCGGAGGAAUACCAAAGGCGAAGGCAGUGUCCUGGAGGGUGACUGACGCUGAGGCGCGAAAGCUAGGGGAGCGAACAGG